GAUGAACGCUAGCGACAGGCCUAACACAUGCAAGUCGAGGGGCAGCACAGAGGUAGCUUGCUACUUUGGGUGGCGACCGGCGCACGGGUGCGUAACAGGUGUGCAAUCUGUCCAUAAUCGGGGAAUAGCCCAGCGAAAGUUGGAUUAAUGCUCCAUGUGAGUAAGAGAGGCAUCUCUUUUAUUUGAAACGCAAGGAUUAUGGGUGAGCACGCUUCUGAUUAGGUAGUUGGUGAGGUAACGGCUCACCAAGCCGACGAUCAGUAGGGGUUCUGAGAGGAAGGUCCCCCACAUUGGAACUGAGACACGGUCCAAACUCCUACGGGAGGCAGCAGUGAGGAAUAUUGGUCAAUGGACGGAAGUCUGAACCAGCCAAGUCGCGUGAAGGAUGAAGGUUCUAUGGAUUGUAAACUUCUUUGUCUGAGGGUAAAAAGCGGACGUGUCCGUUCUUGCAAGUAUCAGACGAAUAAGCAUCGGCUAACUCCGUG
Molecule: ribosomal RNA, 485 nt
Filed under: uncultured bacterium
Lineage: Bacteria
Description: bacterial SSU rRNA
Rfam family: Bacterial small subunit ribosomal RNA
Source: RNAcentral